UGUUUCGGGAACCGGUGCUUCUGAUUGGGGGCGGCUGGGAAGCUCUUGGCCGUUGAUUGGCUGUCUGCCUGCGGCCCCGCCCCCGCGCUUCUUUCCCUACAGCGGGCCGGAGCCCGCCCUGGCCGGUUUAUGGCCCUGUGCGGGUAGCGCCGUCUGACCGGUCGUGUAGACACCGGUACGACCGAGCCCGGGGCCGCCGCUACCCGGAGCCGCUGCGGCCCUUUAAGGCUCCAGUUGGUUCUCCCGGAAGCCGCCUGACCAACAUUAGUGAUGGCAAUGUCAGCAGUGCAGUUGACCAGUCUUGUACAGAUGCCCCCACAAAUACUGUGGUAACUGAUGUGACCUGCAUGGCAGGAUUGCAUAAAGAAAUCAUUAGAAGUUCUAACCAGUAUAGUAUGAAGAUUAAACUGCCACUAAUCAAGACAGGAAGGAAUGCAGCCAAUCAGUAGUUUAUCGGGAUCUAAAGGGAAGUGAGAGAAACAGAAAAAAAAGAUCAUGCAUAGAAGAACAGUUAUGUCCAUGGAUCAUAAACCGUGAAAUAGACCAUAAAA
Long non-coding RNA from Vidua chalybeata, 551 nucleotides. RefSeq lists it as uncharacterized. The transcript is spliced from 3 exons. Lineage: Eukaryota; Metazoa; Chordata; Aves; Passeriformes; Viduidae. The record is from RefSeq and is a predicted model, not a curated record.